Non-coding RNA from Sus scrofa (pig), 552 nucleotides. NCBI's taxonomy places the organism in Eukaryota, Metazoa, Chordata, Mammalia, Artiodactyla, Suidae. The record is from RefSeq and is a predicted model, not a curated record.
CCGACGCGGAUCUUGAAGGGACUGCCGGGGAUGUGGGCACCGUUGAACUUGACAUCGAUGGAGUGGACGCCGUUCUCAUGAGGGAUGAAGCGGAUGGUGUGCUUGUCUGGGGGCAGAGGUUGCGGCCUGGUCCCUGCUGCUGCCAGGCCCAGCUCAGGAAGGUCCUCAACAAGACCGCUAAGAGAUGAGGCCACCUGGCUGCGCUGGACAUGGUGGAGAUGAGAUGAUGUGCCCUGUCCUGGCUGAAGAGGUGAGACCCAGACACCAUACGUAAAGCCAGCCCGAUGGCAGAGAAGCCAGUGCUAGGACAGUGCUGUGUGGCCUGCGAGCACCCAGCUCCGACCAACAGCCUCCCCCUCCCCGUCCCAAGGGACAGAACACCCGACCUCCCUGUGAGGACCCCGGCCGGGCCCUGCUCACCCUCUUGCUGCCGAGUGAUGCUGCCGAAAGAGCCCAGACGUUCCCGGCCCAGGAAGUCCCCGAAGACGGCGGGGAAGGGGUCUCCGCCAACCUGAGUGGACUCCUCCACCCGCACCUCGCGCUUGGUCUCCC